AGGACGAACGCUGGCGGCGUGCUUAACACAUGCAAGUCGAACGAGAAUCUAAUGACGGAGUUUUCGGACAACUGAUUUAGAGGACAGUGGCGGACUGGUGAGUAACGCGUGAGGAACCUGCCUUUCAGAGGGGGACAACAGUUGGAAACGACUGCUAAUACCGCAUGAUGCAUUUUGAUCGCAUGGUCGGAAUGCCAAAGAUUUAUCGCUGAAAGAUGGCCUCGCGUCUGAUUAGCUAGUUGGCGGGGUAACGGCCCACCAAGGCGACGAUCAGUAGCCGGACUGAGAGGUUGACCGGCCACAUUGGGACUGAGAUACGGCCCAGACUCCUACGGGAGGCAGCAGUGGGGAAUAUUGGGCAAUGGGCGCAAGCCUGACCCAGCAACGCCGCGUGAAGGAAGAAGGCUUUCGGGUUGUAAACUUCUUUUAAGUGGGAAGAGUGGAAGACGGUACCACUUGAAUAAGCCACGGCUAACUACGUG
This 482-nucleotide ribosomal RNA is filed under the name uncultured bacterium. RNAcentral describes it as "bacterial SSU rRNA". It matches the Rfam family "Bacterial small subunit ribosomal RNA", at positions 26 to 507 of the family's 1533-position model. The record is from RNAcentral.